AACCUGGUUGAUCCUGCCAGUAGUCAUAUGCUUAUCUCAAAGAUUAAGCCAUGCAUGUCUAAGUUCAGGAUGGGUCAGUUUCCGGCGGAUUUCUUCGGAAUGAAGUCUCGAUUCUGUACCAUUAAAUCUGAAACUGCGUACGGCUCAGUAUAACAGUAAUAACCUAUGGGUUUGGCUUUCCUUACAAGGAUAACUAUGGUAACUCCAUAGCUAAUACUUGACUUCUGAAUUUUUAGUUCAACAAGUUGUUCUCAACUUGUUCAGGAACGAUAAAAACUCAUUAUCAAAGAGACCUCCCCUUCGGGCGCUUGCAUGGUUGUUGAUCGAACUCCUGGGUUCCUGACCUAUCAGCUUGAUGCUAGUUUAAGUAACUAGGGUAGCGAUCACGGGUAACGGGGAAUUGGUGUUCGAUUCCGGAGAGGGAGCCUGAGAGACGGCUACCACGUCUACGGACGGCAGCAGGCGCGCAAAUUACCCAAUCUUAAUACAUAAAGGAGGUAGUGACGAGAAAUAUCGAUCUUACUAAACGUAAGUUUGAAAUGAUUGGAAUUUAAACCAUUCCAAAAAAACAAUUGGAGGGAAAGUCUGGUGCCAGCAUCCGCGGUAAUACCAGCUCCAAGAGUGUAUAUUAAUGCUGUGCAGUUAAAACGUUCGUAGUUAAAAGACUGGGCUAGCUGGCGCUCAAUGUUAAGCUGUUCACUGGGGGCUUCGUGCUUUUACCUCGAGAGAGGUAAGGUCAGUCCUGCGAAUUUCCUUUUCGUAGGUACUGAUUUCUCAUUGAACGGUUUUUCAUAUGCGUAUGAAGUCAUACAUAAUGUAGGCUUCAACGAUGGGCGUUAAAAAUUAACGACUGAAUUAAUUAACUUGAUUUUUUAAUUCAGCCGUUAAUUCUCGGCUAGCCCACCCUUAGAGGAAAAUAACGGGUUCAGCUCCGGCUGGGCUCAUAUGUUAUUUCCUCGCGGAGCUGUGAACAAAUCAUAGUGCUCAAGGCAAGCAAGUCAAUAGCUUAUGUGUGAAUUAGCAUGGUACUCCAACGUCAGUUUCUUUGGCUACAGUUAAUUUUAGGGGGAUCCGUCCUGCCGAACUUAACUUUCACCUUCGGGUGAGGCCAAAGAUACGAGGUAAAUGGGAGUGGGCAGGGCCUUUCGUAUUACUGGGCGAGAGGUGAAAUUCUUAGACCCUGGAAAGACGGUCUACUGCGAAAGCAAAAGGCCGGUACUCUCCCGUCAAUCAGGAACGAAAGUUGGGGGCGCGAAGACGAUUAGAUACCGUCGUAGUCCUAACCGUAAACUAUACCAACCAAGGGUUGAGAUAGUAUUAUAUCUCACCUUCCUCAGAACUUUUUCGGGAAACCAUUGAGUUUCUGGGUUCUGGGGGGAGUAUGGUCGCAAGACUGAAACUUAAAGAAAUUGACGGAAGGGCACCACAAGGAGUGGAGUUUGCGGCUCAAUUUGACUCAACGCGGGAAAACUUACCAGGUCCAGACACAAGUAGGAUUGACAGGUUGAUAGCCCUUUCUUGAUUUUGUGGUUGGUGGUGCAUGGCCGUUCUUAGUUGGUGGAGUGAUUUGUCUGCUUAAUUGCGUUAACGAACGAGACCUUCGCCUAUUAAACUUCGCACUGACUCCAGAUAUGAUUUUCGAAUCAUAUUGUAAUGGAGUUAGUUGGUAUAUACCAGUCCACUCAUGUGGAUCUGCUUCUUAGAGGGACUUUGUACGUUUAAAUUUUUAAUUUAGUACAAGGAAGCGGAAGGCUAUAACAGGUCUGUAAUGCCCUUAGAUGUUCUGGGCUGCACGCGCACUACAAUGUGACUGACAACGAGCAUAUUCCGUAGAAAAAGUAUUUCCAUUCCAAACACUAUGACAAUUAUCUUCGAUACUUGUCUUAGUGGGAUAUACUUUUUCUCGGCCUGCAUUGAAAAGUGCGGGGACACUUGUUAAACGGUUACAAAUCUGGGAUUGAUGCUUGUAAUUUUUCAGCAUGAACCAGGAAUUCCUAGUAGGGGCAAGUCAACAACUUGCGCCGAAUACGUCCCUGCCCUUUGUACACACCGCCCGUCGCUCCUACCGGUUGAAUGGCCAGGUGAACUUAUUCGGAUGUAACUUUUUAAGUUACAGAAGGUAAGUAAAUCUUGCCAUUCGCAGGAAGGAGAAGUCGUAAUCAAGGUUAUCGUAGGUGAACCUGCAGAAGGAUCA
Molecule: ribosomal RNA, 2194 nt
Filed under: Pharyngomonas kirbyi
Lineage: Eukaryota; Heterolobosea; Pharyngomonadea; Pharyngomonadida; Pharyngomonadidae
Description: partial 18S ribosomal RNA
Rfam family: Eukaryotic small subunit ribosomal RNA
Source: RNAcentral